RNAcentral lists this long non-coding RNA (527 nucleotides) under Actinidia chinensis (golden kiwifruit). RNAcentral's name for it is "long non-coding RNA (ACHI_LNC006762)". The record is from RNAcentral. Lineage: Eukaryota; Viridiplantae; Streptophyta; Magnoliopsida; Ericales; Actinidiaceae.
UCUUCUCUUUCUCUCUCAUACCUCUUCUUCAACCUUCAAAACUCUGCAAUGGAAGGUGAUUUGGGCCUUCUGAGACCCUCCGGCGACGGUGGCAGCGGAGCUUCCUACGGUGGUUCUGCAAGUGGGUCCAUUUCAAUCGGAUCGGGUUUUUCGAUUUACACCAUCACAAAAACGUUAUCAGUCCGCUACCCAACACAAAAACAUAUUUACCACCCGUUAGCCAACCAAACAGGCGGAUCCGCUAGUAAACCGUCCAAUCAGAUCGGAUCAAGCAGUUUGAAUGGAUUGAUCGAAUUUUUGCUCACCCCUAUGUUUAUAAAAUUAUUUACACCUUGUGAGUAGGUCGGGUCUUGUUUUAUAAGAUUUCAGCUUCAAUGGACAUGCACUAGAUUAAUCAGAAUAUUCUCAAGCUUGGUCGUAAUAGUAAUACUUUACGGGAGUUGGUCUUUUUUUGGGUUUUGGUAUACUGAUGGCACUAAGCUGAUAACUGGUGGAAGUUUAGAAGUUGAUAUAAAUUUCAAUAUCUA